This 468-nucleotide ribosomal RNA is filed under the name uncultured bacterium. RNAcentral describes it as "partial 16S ribosomal RNA". It matches the Rfam family "Bacterial small subunit ribosomal RNA", at positions 28 to 507 of the family's 1533-position model. The record is from RNAcentral.
GACGAACGCUGGCGGCGUGCUUAACACAUGCAAGUCGAACGGAAAGGCCCUGCGUUUGUGGCGUGCUCGAGUGGCGAACGGGGGAGUAACACGUGAGUAACCUGCCCUUGUCUUUGGGGUAACUUCAGGAAACUGGGGCUAAUACCGGAGAGGAGCUCCUGCUGCAUGGGGGGGGUUGGAAAGUGUCGGCUGCGGGGGAUGGACUGGCGGCUUACCAGCUUGUUGGUGGGGUAGGGGCUGACCAAGGCUUUGACGGGUAGCCGGCCUGAGAGGGUGACCGGGCACCUUGGGCCUGCGGUACGGCCCAGACUCCUACGGGCGGCAGCAGUGGGGAAUAUUGCACAAUGGGCGGAAGCCUGAUGCAGCAACGCCGCGUGCGGGAUGACGGCCUUCGGGUUGUAAACCGCUUUCGCCUGUGACGAAGCGUGCGUGACGGUAAUUGGUCAAGAAGCACCGGCUAACUACGUG